AGCGAACGCUGGCGGUAGGCCUAACACAUGCAAGUCGAACGAACUCUCCGUAGUUAGUGGCGGACGGGUGAGUAACACGUGGGAACGUGCCUUUUGGCUCGGAAUAAUUCAGGGAAACUUGUGCUAAUACCGAAUGUGUCCCUCUGGGGACAGAUUUAUCGUGAUUGGAGCGGCCCGCGUCCGAUUAGCUUGUUGGUGAGGUAACGGCGCACCAAGGCGACGAUCAGUAGCUGGUCUGAGAGGAUGGCCAGCCACACUGGGGCUGGGACGCGGCCCAGACUCCUGCGGGAGGCAGCAGUGGGGGAUCUUGCGCAAUGGGCGGAAGCCUGACGCAGCCAGGCCGCGUGAAUGAUGAAGGUCUUAGGGUUGUAAAGUUCUUUCACCGGGGACGAUAAUGACGGUACCCGAAGAAGAAGCCCCGGCUAACUUCGUG
Molecule: ribosomal RNA, 433 nt
Filed under: uncultured bacterium
Lineage: Bacteria
Description: partial 16S ribosomal RNA
Rfam family: Bacterial small subunit ribosomal RNA
Source: RNAcentral